This is a long non-coding RNA of Lutra lutra (Eurasian river otter), 2098 nucleotides long. RefSeq lists it as uncharacterized. NCBI's taxonomy places the organism in Eukaryota, Metazoa, Chordata, Mammalia, Carnivora, Mustelidae. The transcript is spliced from 3 exons. The record is from RefSeq and is a predicted model, not a curated record.
AGUGGGGACCAGGGAAAGGAGGCCAGGAAGAGCUUGUCUGAAGGCAGCGCGAGAGAAAAAUAGUGCGUUUCCUGAUCGGACCCUGACUCUGUUCAGUCCAGUCAAUAAGUCGGGCAGGAUAUAUUUCUCACCUGAUUUUUUUUUUUUCCCCCAAAACUUUGGGAGACUGCUCCCAGGAGAGGACUACCUGUUUUAUCAUAGCAACGCACUGCGUUUGCUUUCAGCUGAAUGACAUGGUCAACACGGACGAUCUCCGGGGCAAUAGAACCAUAUGAUUGGAGAUUCCAGCCCUGGCCAAAGCUGCGGGCUCAGGUCCAAUAUAUUAAAUAUGGGCUCUAUGAUCAGAUUUCACUGUUUCAGAAAGAUGCGUCUGUGACAUUCGCAGAAGAGUGGGCCAUCCAUCAAACACGAGAGCUACACAGGAUGCAUUGUGCGGGCAGAGCACCUACCCCGUACUACAGCUCAGCGGGAAAGCUCCUCCAUGUGGUUCUCAUCAAAGACCUCAGAAGUGCAUUUCACAUAAUAAUCUAAAGAGACGACCCAAGAUUAAACGCAGGCCCAACACAUAUACAUUUCAGGAUUCGGUAGAGGUAUUUCGACUAUAUAACCUAUGUAGUCAUUUCUGGUACAUAAAUUGGAUUUUUAAAGGCCUUUACAGAAUCUGUAAAGAAUCCUUCCCUACUUUUUAUACCUUUUCUGACAAUAUUGUGUAUAAAUGUUGACAUUUAUCCUUUGAAUUGUGUUAAUUGGGUGGAAUGGCUUCUGCAUCCCUGAGGUGACUUUGAGUUAUCCGUGUUAAGGAGUGGGAAGGAGUAGGAAAAGGAGGAGAUGGUUUCAGUAGGGAGUGGGGGACCAACAGGGAAAGGGCAGAAGGACCAUUAAGGAAUCUACUCCAAACCAAGGAUGCCUUCUCCUUAUCUUCUCUGAGACCACCCACUGCUAUGCCUCACUAAAGAGAGGCACAAAACUCUUAGCUUCCUAAGGAAGGCAGAAUAAUGGCCCCUUUCCAAAGAUGUCCAUAUUCUAAUUUCCAGAACCAUGAAUAUGUCAUCUUACAUGGCAAAGAGGACUUUGCAAAAUUGAUUCAUUUAAGAAUCUUGGGAUGAAAAGAUAAUCUUAGAUGAUGCAAAUGGGCCCAAUGUAAUCACAGGGUUCUUUAUAUGAGAGGCAGGAGGGUCAGACUCACAGAAGGAGAUGUAACGACAGAAGCAGGGUCAGAGAGAGAGAUGUUGGCUCUAUACAUGGAAGAGGGGCCAUGAGCCAAGGGAUGCAGCCAGCCUAUAGAAGCCAGCAAAGAGCAAGGAAAUGGAUUCCUCUUACAGCCUCCAGAAGGAACACAGCCCUGUUGAUAACUUGAUUUCAGGACUUCUGGCCUCUAAAACUCUAACAAACCCGGGUUGUUUUAAGCCACUAAAUUUGUGGUAAUUUGUUAUGGCAAUAAUAAAAAAUCAGUACGCCUCAUUACCCUAGUGAAAACUUACUGAUGGAUAAUUCUGCUCAUUCCAAUCUUGAUAGCCCUUCCAGUGUUGAAGGCUUGUGUUUCAUAGGUGACUAUGAGGAAAGUUUGUGUGUGUUUGUAAUAUGCUGAGAGUACACUGCUCUAAAUAAAUUAUGAGUUCUGAUAUGAAAGACUCUCUGAGCACCACAGAAAUGGAGUAAUAGCCCACACACAUGGCAGCUGAUAAGGAUGGGAGCCCUGCACCUACAAGACAAGGUAACCCCUUACAGUAAGAAAAACCCUCUUGCACGUACAUCCUCCUUGUCUUUCCUGUACAACCUUGGGAAUCUGUAUUCACUUCCAGGACGAUAAGAAUGCUCAACUUGCUGAAGGAAUACCUUUCAUCUAAAAGCACUGAAAUAAAAAUCUCUCCUCAUAAAUUUAAACAUAUCUCUAAGAACAACCAGAUACCUGAGGGAAAAAAAUCAACAAUGUGAAAAGAACUAACAUGAGAAAACAGAAUUUGUAAAGAUCAGAGGAAACUACAAAAUAGCCAUUAGGACCCUCAGAGAGAUGAGAGGCUAUCACAAGCCAAAGUUUGUAGAAAAAAGUGAUCAGAGUAGUUGAAACAACUGUCAUCCCUCAACUCCACAAAUAAAU